Molecule: ribosomal RNA, 425 nt
Filed under: uncultured bacterium
Lineage: Bacteria
Description: partial 16S ribosomal RNA
Rfam family: Bacterial small subunit ribosomal RNA
Source: RNAcentral
GUGGGGGAUAUUGCACAAUGGGGGAAACCCUGAUGCAGCGACGCCGCGUGAAGGAAGACGUACUUCGGUAUGUAAACUUCUAUCAGCAGGGAAGAAGAUGACGGUACCUGACUAAGAAGCCCCGGCUAACUACGUGCCAGCAGCCGCGGUAAUACGUAGGGGGCAAGCGUUAUCCGGAUUUACUGGGUGUAAAGGGAGCGUAGACGGUGAAGCAAGUCUGAUGUGAAAACCCGGGGCUCAACUCCGGGAUUGCAUUGGAAACUGUUUUAUUUGAGUGCUGGAGGGGCAAGCGGAAUUCCUGGUGUAGCGGUGAAAUGCGUAGAUAUCAGGAAGAACACCGGUGGCGAAGGCGGCUUGCUGGACAGUAACUGACGUUGAGGCUCGAAAGCGUGGGGAGCAAACAGGAUUAGAAACCCCGGUAGUCC